RNAcentral lists this ribosomal RNA (287 nucleotides) under uncultured bacterium. Its description in RNAcentral is "partial 16S ribosomal RNA". It matches the Rfam family "Bacterial small subunit ribosomal RNA", at positions 28 to 314 of the family's 1533-position model. The record is from RNAcentral.
GACGAACGCUGGCGGCGUGCUUAACACAUGCAAGUCGAGCGGUAAGGCCCUUUCGGGGUACGACGAGCGGCGAACGGGUGAGUAACACGUGGGUGACCUGCCCUCCAGCUCUGGGAGUAAGCCUGGGAAACCGGGUCUAAUACUGGAUAUGACUCCAUGACGCAUGUUGUGGGGUGGAAAGCCUUGUGCGGCUGAGGAUGGGCCCGCGGCCUAUCAGCUUGUUGGUGGGGUGGAGGCCUACCAAGGCGACGACGGGUAGCCGGCCUGAGAGGGCGACCGGCUACACU